GAUGAAGAACGUAGCGAAAUGCGAUACUUGGUGUGAAUUGCAGAAUCCCGUGAACCAUCGAGUCUUUGAACGCAAGUUGCGCCCGAAGCCAUUAGGCCGAGGGCACGCCUGCCUGGGCGUCACACGUCGUUGCCCCCCCCAUCUACUCCUUCGGGAUUGCGGGGGGCGGAUGAUGGCCUCCCGUGUGCCUCGCCGCGCGGUUGGCAUAAAUGCCAAGUCCUCGGCGACGCACGCCACGACAAUCGGUGGUUGCGAAACCUCGGUUGCCCGUCGUGUGCGGUCGUCGCGCAUCGAGGGCUCGAAAAAAUUGCCGGGUUCCGGCUCGGCUUUCAACGCGACCCCAGGUCAGGCGGGGUUACCCGCUGAAUUUAAGCAUAUCAAUAACGGAGGA
RNAcentral lists this unclassified non-coding RNA (391 nucleotides) under soil metagenome. RNAcentral's name for it is "partial contains 5.8S ribosomal RNA, internal transcribed spacer 2, and large subunit ribosomal RNA". The stretch from base 1 to 122 matches the Rfam family "5.8S ribosomal RNA", at positions 35 to 154 of the family's 154-position model. The record is from RNAcentral.